GCAGACACAUUCCAGCCAAUCAGCAGCAGACCCUCCCUCCCAGACCCUCCCACCUCCUGGACAGCUCAUUAAGAAGCUGCAUUCUUAGUGAGCUGUCCAGGAGGUGGGAGGGUCUGGGAGGGAGGGUCUGCUGCUGAUUGGCUGGAAUGUGUCUG
This is a non-coding RNA of Pelobates cultripes (western spadefoot toad), 155 nucleotides long. The record is from the annotation of a GenBank genome assembly. NCBI's taxonomy places the organism in Eukaryota, Metazoa, Chordata, Amphibia, Anura, Pelobatidae.